RNAcentral lists this transfer RNA (72 nucleotides) under Patescibacteria group bacterium. RNAcentral's name for it is "tRNA-Pro". It matches the Rfam family "tRNA". Rfam says of the family: Transfer RNA (tRNA) molecules are approximately 80 nucleotides in length. The record is from RNAcentral.
CGGGGUGUUGUGUAACGGCUAGCACGAACGCUUUGGGAGCGUUUAGUCUGGGUUCGAAUCCCAGCACCCCGA